This 490-nucleotide ribosomal RNA is filed under the name uncultured bacterium. RNAcentral describes it as "partial 16S ribosomal RNA". It matches the Rfam family "Bacterial small subunit ribosomal RNA", at positions 30 to 507 of the family's 1533-position model. The record is from RNAcentral.
AUUGAACGCUGGCGGCAGGCCUAACACAUGCAAGUCGAACGGUGACAGGAAGCAGCUUGCUGCUUCGCUGACGAGUGGCGGACGGGUGAGUAAUGUCUGGGAAACUGCCUGAUGGAGGGGGAUAACUACUGGAAACGGUAGCUAAUACCGCAUAACGUCGCAAGACCAAAGAGGGGGACCUUCGGGCCUCUUGCCAUCGGAUGUGCCCAGAUGGGAUUAGCUAGUAGGUGGGGUAACGGCUCACCUAGGCGACGAUCCCUAGCUGGUCUGAGAGGAUGACCAGCCACACUGGAACUGAGACACGGUCCAGACUCCUACGGGAGGCAGCAGUGGGGAAUAUUGCACAAUAGGCGCAAGCCUGAUGCAGCCAUGCCGCGUGUAUGAAGAAGGCCUUCGGGUUGUAAAGUACUUUCAGCGGGGAGGAAGGGAGUAAAGUUAAUACCUUUGCUCAUUGACGUUACCCGCAGAAGAAGCACCGGCUAACUCCGUG